Molecule: transfer RNA, 74 nt
Filed under: Mugil cephalus (flathead mullet)
Lineage: Eukaryota; Metazoa; Chordata; Actinopteri; Mugiliformes; Mugilidae
Description: tRNA-Leu
Rfam family: tRNA
About the family: Transfer RNA (tRNA) molecules are approximately 80 nucleotides in length. Their secondary structure includes four short double-helical elements and three loops (D, anti-codon, and T loops). Further hydrogen bonds mediate the characteristic L-shaped molecular structure. tRNAs have two regions of fundamental functional importance: the anti-codon, which is responsible for specific mRNA codon recognition, and the 3' end, to which the tRNAs corresponding amino acid is attached (by aminoacyl-tRNA synthetases). tRNAs cope with the degeneracy of the genetic code in two manners: having more than one tRNA (with a specific anti-codon) for a particular amino acid; and 'wobble' base-pairing, i.e. permitting non-standard base-pairing at the 3rd anti-codon position.
Source: RNAcentral
GUCAAGGUGGCAGAACCCGGUAAUUGCAAAAGGCCUAAGCCCUUUUUACAGGGGUUCGAACCCCCUCCUUAACU